Long non-coding RNA from Corvus hawaiiensis (hawaiian crow), 656 nucleotides. RefSeq lists it as uncharacterized. The transcript has 3 exons. The record is from RefSeq and is a predicted model, not a curated record. NCBI's taxonomy places the organism in Eukaryota, Metazoa, Chordata, Aves, Passeriformes, Corvidae.
UCUAUCUUCUGCUGUUCUUUUUCUUGUUAGACCUGCGAAGAAACUGAGUUUUCAGAGAAUUCUAUUGUUGCUGUAAAACAUAAUUUGCUCUGCUGCAGAGCAAGCCAGGCAGAGUGAGCUGUGACUCUUUUCCUUCCUUGCUGGCUGCCUAUCUGGCAUCACUUUCCCUCAUAAGCUGGGCUCUUAAGUGGAGACAGUGCAUCCAAGGACUGCAGGAGGGAGCGAGGGCAGAGGUUCCUGUGCUGACCACUGGCUGCCUGGAUGAUGCUGUUACAGCUGUUUCCCACCUCUGUGCCUCAGUUUCCCCUUCUUCAAGUUGGAGGCUGGGAUUCAGUCCUGCCCUGCAGAAGCUUUGAGCUGUGCUUGCACCUUGCUAAAGCCACACCAGCUCCGGUUCCCAGAGGAUGAGUCACGCGCUGACGUCCAGCAUCCUGCCUCUCACCCCGAGCCCAGGGCAGGACGGAGGAAGGGCGAGAGAACCUUCAGAGUUCCUUCUGUAACCUCACCUCGGUGUGCUGGCAGUGGCCGGGGGUGUGGGGAUGCCGUGCUGAGCACCAUGGAGGGGGAAGUGCAGCCCAUCCCUCCCCCAACACCUUCCCAAUGGGAUCACCCCUCUAAAUAAUAAACAUGAGCAAGCAGGGGUUUUUUGCCCUUAA